CACUCCUACGGGAGGCAGCAGUGGGGAAUUUUGGACAAUGGGCGAAAGCCUGAUCCAGCAAUGCCGCGUGAGUGAAGAAGGCCUUCGGGUUGUAAAGCUCUUUUGUCAGGGAAGAAACGGUGAGAGCUAAUAUCUCUUGCUAAUGACGGUACCUGAAGAAUAAGCACCGGCUAACUACGUGCCAGCAGCCGCGGUAAUACGUAGGGUGCAAGCGUUAAUCGGAAUUACUGGGCGUAAAGCGUGCGCAGGCGGUUUUGUAAGUCUGAUGUGAAAUCCCCGGGCUCAACCUGGGAAUUGCAUUGGAGACUGCAAGGCUAGAAUCUGGCAGAGGGGGGUAGAAUUCCACGUGUAGCAGUGAAAUGCGUAGAUAUGUGGAGGAACACCGAUGGCGAAGGCAGCCCCCUGGGUCAAGAUUGACGCUCAUGCACGAAAGCGUGGGGAGCAAACAGGAUUAGAUACCCCGGUAGUCCCAUG
RNAcentral lists this ribosomal RNA (474 nucleotides) under uncultured organism. RNAcentral's name for it is "partial 16S ribosomal RNA". It matches the Rfam family "Bacterial small subunit ribosomal RNA", at positions 334 to 799 of the family's 1533-position model. The record is from RNAcentral.